AUUGAACGCUGGCGGCAUGCCUUACACAUGCAAGUCGAACGGCAGCACGGGUGCUUGCACCUGGUGGCGAGUGGCGAACGGGUGAGUAAUACAUCGGAACAUGUCCUGUAGUGGGGGAUAGCCCGGCGAAAGCCGGAUUAAUACCGCAUACGAUCUACGGAUGAAAGCGGGGGACCUUCGGGCCUCGCGCUAUAGGGUUGGCCGAUGGCUGAUUAGCUAGUUGGUGGGGUAAAGGCCUACCAAGGCGACGAUGGGUAGCUGGUCUGAGGGGGCGACCAGCCACAAUAGGACUGAGGUACGGCCCAGAGUCCGAAGGGGGGCAGCAGUGGGUAAUAUUGCCCUAUAGGCGGAAGCCUGAUGCAGCAGCGCCGCGUGCGGGAUGACGGGCUUGGGGGUGUAAACCGCUUUCGCCUGUGACGAAGCGGGAGUGACGGUAAUGGGUAAAGAAGCACCGGCUAACUACGUG
This 466-nucleotide ribosomal RNA is filed under the name uncultured bacterium. Its description in RNAcentral is "partial 16S ribosomal RNA". It matches the Rfam family "Bacterial small subunit ribosomal RNA", at positions 28 to 507 of the family's 1533-position model. The record is from RNAcentral.